UACGUAGGAGGCGAGCGUUGUCCGGAUUUACUGGGCGUAAAGCGCGUGUAGGCGGCUCGAUUAGCCUGCUGUGAAAGCUCUCGGCUUAACCGGGAGAGGUCGGUGGAUACUGUCGGGCUUGAGGACGGUAGAGGGGGGUGGAAUUCCCGGCGUAGUGGUGAAAUGCGUAGAGAUCGGGAGGAACACCAGUGGCGAAGGCGGCCCCCUGGGCCGCUCCUGACGCUGAGACGCGAAGGCCAGGGUAGCGAACGGG
Molecule: ribosomal RNA, 253 nt
Filed under: uncultured bacterium
Lineage: Bacteria
Description: partial 16S ribosomal RNA
Rfam family: Bacterial small subunit ribosomal RNA
Source: RNAcentral